This 571-nucleotide long non-coding RNA is filed under the name Sarcophilus harrisii (Tasmanian devil). Its description in RNAcentral is "lncRNA (ENSSHAG00000022981.1)". Lineage: Eukaryota; Metazoa; Chordata; Mammalia; Dasyuromorphia; Dasyuridae. The record is from RNAcentral.
AUUGUGGGAAACGUAGUCUCCCGAGGCGGCCUUCCGCUUUAGCUUCUUCCCUGUCAUGGCUGCUUCCCGUCCGUGAACAUCGGAGGCCUGAGCCCGGGGAGUGUUGGCUGCUUUCGCCCCUGCCGCCGCGCUGGGUGCUCCCAGAGAAAGCCGUCGCGUGCACCCCGCGCCGCCGGGAACCCUACCCUGGGCCGACCGCGCCUUAAUUCUCUAACUUUGCCUCGGGCCGAGAGGGGCCGCGGGAAGGAGCUCGGGGACCCGUCGGCUCCGCAGAGACCGGCUUCCGCACGCUGCCGUCUCUCCAAAUCAUAGCUCUAGAAGGAUCCUCAGAAGUCCUUUGAUUUAAAAUGCACAUUCUUUCCAUAAUGGGACUGAUAUUUUAACACUGGAACUGAAUAUGGCUUCCCUUGGAAAUCCUAAACCUAUGAUUUCGUGGAAAUCCCAGCAUUCCCAGAUAAGAAAAAUAGGAUUUGUACACCAGUUCUCUGACUUUAAAGCUAGUGUUCUGUCCAUUGUACCACAAUUGGCUCCCUAUUAUUAAUGUAAUGCAGAUCAGGGAAAUAUAAUAAAG